RNAcentral lists this long non-coding RNA (949 nucleotides) under Taeniopygia guttata (zebra finch). RNAcentral's name for it is "lncRNA (ENSTGUG00000008686.2)". Lineage: Eukaryota; Metazoa; Chordata; Aves; Passeriformes; Estrildidae. The record is from RNAcentral.
GGGCGCUGAGGGGGCGGCGGAGUGCGAGCCGCACUGAGGGCGGGCUGAGGGGCCGCGCCGGGUCCCGGUGCCCUUGUGCCCUCACACCGCCCCGUUCCGCUACCCCCGGCGGCUCCCUCUGUGCCCGCCCUGCUCCCGCCUGGGUCACGGUGCCCUCGGGUCUCGCCCGCUCCGUGCCGCCGGGGCCGGCCCCGCAGCACGGGGGACCGACGGGGGCUGUCCGCCAAGGGCAGGGGAUCUGUGGGGUUUUGGGGCCUGUUUUUCGAGUCUCUGAGGACCGGAGAGCGGCGACUGCAGGGCUGGCAGCGGGGCCCCUGGGCUGUGGCACCAUGUCACGCCGCGCGUGGGCUCCCCUUGGCAGGAAAGGGAAAUAAACCGCUAAUGAGAGGGUGUAGUGCUCCCAGCAGCGUGGCCCAUUGCCCGAGGCAGUCUCUGCGAGGCUCCUUCCAGCGUGCUCAGAACACGCUCAGGGGACACUGCCAGGUUUCUUGCUUGCUUUUGGACUUGGACAGGCCUAAUCUGUGAAGAUAAUUAAAGUUCCUCUACUCUGGAUGCUAGCCGCCGCGGCCCGGCCAUGUCCCCGCUGCCGGAGGCGCAGCUGGUGCGCAGCUCGGUGCAGCUGUACCGGUACCUGCUGCGCUGCUGCCGCCGCCUGCCUCCGGGGCCCGUCCAGCAGCACUACAGACACGCCAUCCGGCAGAGUUUCAAAGUCCAUGCUGAUGAAGAUGAUCCUGAGCGAAUCCAGCAGAUUAUUAAGAGAGCCAUUGAAGAUGCUGACUGGGUGAUGAAUAAAUAUAAAAACCAGAAGUAGAAGAGGAAGGAUGAAACCAAGGAAGACAUUGGUAAACAUCCUUAGAGGACUUUCAGUCAAGCCCAGUACUAUAUUAGAAUUAUUGCUUGAAGUUUUCUCUUGGAUAAUACAAAUACAAUAACUUAUAUUUCACUGGGA